Molecule: non-coding RNA, 214 nt
Filed under: Enterobacterales bacterium 8AC
Lineage: Bacteria; Pseudomonadati; Pseudomonadota; Gammaproteobacteria; Enterobacterales
Source: RNAcentral
AUCGUAGCAUGGCCGUCCGGCCUCAAGCAGCGAGUGAAAAGGGAAUCCAGUGUGAAUCUGGAGCUGACGCGCAGCGGUAUGGGGAAGUCACGGCGAUAGCGUUUUAACGCAGACACUGUCCACUGCUGGAUGGGAAGUCAUCGCCCGGUGCCGGUUGCCCACGGCAAUCUGCAAAUCCUAAGCCCGAAAACCUGCCGGUGUACGUCGCAAAAUC